RNAcentral lists this ribosomal RNA (234 nucleotides) under Agrostemma githago (corn cockle). The record is from RNAcentral. Lineage: Eukaryota; Viridiplantae; Streptophyta; Magnoliopsida; Caryophyllales; Caryophyllaceae.
UCACGCAUCGCGUCUUCCCCACGCUCACCUUGUGUGGGGUGGGGAAGGAGGAUGGCUUCCCGUGCCUCACCGGGCGCGGCUGGCCUAAAAAGGGAGCCCACGGCGUUGUGAUGUCGCGGCGAUAGGUGGUGAACAAGGCCUUGGCUGAGCAAGCAACCCGCCGCGCAUCGCUUUGUCAACGUGUGCUCGGAGGACCCUAUGAAGUUGCCUCGGUGCAACGCAAACCGUUGCGAC